RNAcentral lists this long non-coding RNA (25358 nucleotides) under Nicotiana benthamiana. RNAcentral describes it as "long non-coding RNA (NBEN_LNC034040)". The record is from RNAcentral. Lineage: Eukaryota; Viridiplantae; Streptophyta; Magnoliopsida; Solanales; Solanaceae.
CCUAUUUUUCUUAUCAGAAAAAUAGGGAGUCUUGUGUGAUAAGAAAAUGCUACCGUUACUAAAAGAUAAGUUUUAUAGAGCAGUGGUUAGACCGACCAUGUUGUAUGGGAUCGAGUGUUGGCCGGUUAAGAACUCACACAUCCAGAAGAUGCAAGUAGCAGAGAUAAGGAUGUUGCGAUGGAUGUGCGGACAUAUAAGGAUGGAUAAGAUUAGGAAUGAAGAUAUUCGUUUCAAGAGCUCGAACUCGAUAAAAUGAGUGAUACGGAUAUAACAUUACUUAUAUAUAUUAAAAAAAGAGAGAAUAAAUUCAGUCUCCAAAGCCAAUUGAUUGACGAACAAGGCCACCCCACCUGGCACGGUGAAGCCAAACCCAGCCAAAAGGCCUAAAAAAGCAAAUGAAAAAGCCAAGUCGGCCAAUGUCUCGCCUUCACUGUGCAAUAUUUAUAAAAGGCGGAGAUAUCCCCAUCUCACCCAGCAAAAUCCCCUUUUCGCGAUUCUGAGCGUAGUAUAAUUCUUCAUAUGCGCGCGCACGUACACAUUUCACUGAAGCAGUGAAUUUCAAUUUUUUUAAAAAAAAACCAUAAAGCUGCCUUUUCCUUUCAUUUGCUUUUUGCCUCUCUUUUUAUUCUCGAGCCUUCUCUUUCUUAGCCUGAAAGCUGCCUUCCUCUCUCCCUCUAUAGCACUGGUCAGUGGCCACUCUCUAUAUAUGCUCUGCAAAACAUCUUUUCUCUCUUUCAAUUUCAGCCACAUUUCCAAUUUGAGAAUCUAAACAUUCAUCUGCUCAACUUUCAGGUAUUUUUUCUCUCUCUGCUAUCUCUUUCUGAAAAGUGAAAUCUGUGCGGUAUUUAUAUGUAUGUGCUGGUGCAAGUAUUUGGCUGAUUGAACGAGGUUAAUUGAAUGAUCUGGAUUUGAAUCCGCGAUCAGAAAAUCGCGGAAUUUCUGGUUGAACAUGCACUUUCUAGGCAUAGUGAAAGAGGAUGUGAAUCCUUAGCUUUUCGCUCUGCUUUUUUAAUGCCGUUAUUUUGAAUCACGUUUCGGGAAUUUUCUGUUUGCAUGAUUUUCAGAUAAAGUGAUGUUUCAUUUUAGAUUUAUACUAUAUUAUAAAGAGUUUAACUAAUACUCAAUGACAGUGAAACGAACUUUUAAACUUUGUUUUUUAAAAUGAUAAAUCUUAUUUUUAUGAAGAAUUACCUGUAAAUAUUUUUUGUUUAAUAUAUGCCGAGGCAGAUACAGAAUUUUUAAAUUAUGAGUUCUUAAUUAUUUUUAAUCUGAAAAUUACUACUGAGAAUGAGUGCUUAAUUAAUAUAUUUAUACUUAUAAUUUACUAUGUGUUUUUUAUAUAAUUAUAAAGUUUGGCUCCAAAAGUAAUGGGUGCUCAAGCACCAUGGUCCAUAAUGUACAUCCGCCACUGGAUAUAUGUAUAAUUUUACAAAUAUCUUUUGUUUAAUCUGAUAGUGAAAAAAAGUGUUGGUGUAUUAAACGCAAUAUAUGUGGAAGUAUAGAUAUCCUUCCACAUGAAAUAGAAAAUAUCUGUUUCUUCUGAUUUAGGAGUGAGUAUUAGAUGCUGAAUUUUGAGGACACAAUUUGAAGUGCAAAAAAGGUGACGUAAAAAGUGCAUUGGUAGUCCGCCACUCCAUCUUGAAUGCAGGAACUCAUGUACUGUUGUGCUUGCCCACUCAAUUUGAACUUGUUAAAUUUCAGAAGAAUAGAAUCGGUACACUACAUUUAAAAACUAUUUUCAGUCAUACUUGCUUAUGUGGAUUUUGGAAUUUAACAAAUAACAUUUAAAUUCAUUAUUUCAGGGUAAAGUUUUCAAGUUUUUGUCACUAAAAAAUGCUACAAUAAUUCUAAUACUCCAUAUAGUCUGUGAAAUGUCACAUCUGUGUGUGUGUGUUUGAUUGUUGUGACUUGUGAAGUUGUGUUCAAUCCACCCUCCACUAUAUUUUCUACUAGGACUGCUGCAUAGAGGAAAAUCAGAAAAGCUUUGUGGAUUUUGUUUUUGCUCUCAUUGUUAGUUUUGUGGAAAAAGAUUCGGUUGGUUAGGAUUGAUGUAAACGCCAACCUCAUACAUUUAAUUUGUUCUAACAUACGUUUAUUUUAUUUCUAGAUUUCCAAAUUAGAUUAUUAUAGAGUGUUACCUCUUUUUGGUUGUUGUUUUAUGUCGUUUCAAUCUGGUGUAAAAAGAGUAUACAAUAGCAUAAAAGUUAAAUUUAUUUAUUAAACUUUAUAAUAGAUCGUUUAUUUUAUUUUUUAUAUUUCAAAUUUAAAUUUUAUAGAGUGUUACCUUUUCGCCCUUGUUGUGUCAUUUAAAAUUAAAUCUGAUAGUGUGAAAAAGUCAUAGAUAAUAUUUUUAGGCAUAGAAGUAAACUUAUGCAUUAGAUUUUUAACAACUUUUAUUGAAUAGAAAAUUAAAGCCUCAGACUUCGCUGGACAACGUUCCAUUAACCUGGGGUCCUAAAAGCCUAUAAAAGGAAAAAUCAUUUUGAGAUUCCUUCUCCGAUAUUAAAAAAAGGAAUAUAAAAUAGACCCUUUCAAAGACUCAAGUGGCCCAUAGACCCUUCAAAAGAGGGUUCGGGUUCUCUAUAAUUUGUUCUGAUUAAUUUUUUAUUAGGUUCACUUUCUAAGAGAAUUUUUUAAUUAAAACAAAAAUUAAUUCCUGGGUAUUACCAUGAAAGUGCAUUCUUGCGUAAGCGCUGCCUUUUCCAGCUUUUUUAAAAUACGAAUCUCAAAAAAUAAAAUCUCUGUGUCAGCUGCAUGGCUGUAAGGCUUUAUGUAGCUUUUAAAGCUUACACGAGGAUUCGUCUGCUCUUCCACUUCCACUUCCCCUCUCGCUAUGAUAAUUCUCUCUUCUCUGCCACCCGAAAUCUUUAUAUAUUCUCUAUUUCUCCCUCUUUCACCUCAAAGAAAGGUUGUCAAUUUAAUUCACCCACCAAAUGUUAAUUCUUUAUUCUAACUCUUGCUCUUUUGAGUCAUGAUUCUAUAGCUUUCUGGUUAUUGACGUUUGGAUCAAAUUAGGCCAGAACCCUCAGGUUUGACCGAGUCUUGAUUUUAUUUUCCCGUUUUCGCGAUACUCCUCUGGUGGUUUUUGAAGUUGGGUUAGGAUUGUUUACCUAUCAGGCUGUCACACAAAUAUUUCUGGCAUUAUUAGCUGCGCAAAAGGUUAGAAUUCUCAAUUCUAUAGCAGGCUUUUGAUUUUCUGCAUGCAAUGUGUUUGUGCCAGUGUCCGCGUUGAAUCUAAUAAUUGUUCAGAAGCAUUACAAUCGUUCUUUCUUUUACUUUUUGUGCGCCUUUAUACUUAUACACUUGUCGUUGCUCACUUUGGUUGAUUUUUCUUGUUUUCUUGACCUGAACUUGAGAUACCAAAUGAAUUUGUACAACGUGAUUAAUUAAAAACCUUGGAGGAAAACAGCCAAGACUCUUAAUGGUAGACCCCAUUUCCCCUGUAGAAAUCUGUGGAUCCCAUUCUCCCUGUUAUCUCUUGUGGUAGACCCCAUUCCCUUUUAGAAUUCUGUGGAUCCCAUUCUCCCUGUUAUCUCUUCCUUAGUAUAACUCUGUUUUUCUCUAUUAUUGGUUAUUCUAAUUUUUAAAUAUUGGAUUGGUACAUGUCUAAAUGUAGCUACAUGGAUAGUGAAGAGUCGUAUAGCUGAUCCCCACUAGCUUGGGAUUGAGGCGUAUUUGUUUUUUUUUUAUUGGUUUAUUUAACAAGAAUGCUGUUGUACUGUUCACAUAUGUUACCCUGGGCUAUGCAAUUGCAUUUUCACUGUUCGUACUUGAGGCGAUUGUGGAAUUUUAUUCUUGUAUCAUUCAGGAGGGAGUUUCUUCUAUCACUACCACUUAAUUUGCUAUAAUCAAGAUGAAAGACGUUUGUUUUCAGGGACAACAGAACUCUAUUAAAUUCAUCCUAGGAGGUCAUAUUCUAGAUAGAUGCCAGGAAACAAGUACAACGGAAACCAAACGGUUGCCACCACUCGAUUGGAGAGGCUAUUGAGAGAAAGAGAGCUAAGGAAAACUAGCAGAACUUCUCACCAAACAAGCGAUUCAACUGAUAGCAACAGGGGCAAUGAGCUCUCUGACCAUGAUUUUCGCCAAGGAGAAGCUGAUAAUGCAGGAGUUUCAUAUGUCGAACAGUACCUAGAAGGAGUUGCACGAGCAUAUAGUGAGGGAUGGGAGCGGCCCGAUGGACGGCCCGCCAGACAACGACUCCUGGUUGUGGCUAAUAGGUUACCUGUCUCUGCAGUAAGAAGGGGUGAGGAAUCCUGGUCUCUGGAGAUAAGUGGUGGAGGUCUAGUUAGUGCUCUUCUUGGUAAGCUAGCUUCCUUUCAGUCAUAUCUGAUUUUUCAUUUUGACUCUUAUUUUUACCUAGACUCUAAUUAUCUCUUUUUGGGAGUUCGAUGUUCAUAUUAUCUAAGAGAUGGUCUAAUUGUUCUGGAAAUAAUUUGUUGAAGGUGUGAAGGAGUUUGAGGCUAGAUGGAUUGGUUGGGCGGGUGUGAAUGUGCCAGAUGAGGCGGGGCAGAGGGCACUUACUAAAGCACUGGCAGAAAAGGUUUUAAUACAUCGUCCUCCUCAUGUUUUUGCCACCAUAUUUUGUGCCAGAUGAGGCGGGACAGAGGGCACUUACUAAAGCACUGGCAGAAAAGGUUUUAAUACAUCGUCCUCCUCAUGUUUUUGCCACCAUAUUUCAGUUUGCCACACUUCAUUGCCUUUUUGAAUUUAGGACUUUGGAGAUAGCUUUACUUUUUUUUCUCCAAGAAGAAUGCUUUACCUAUAUCCUGCAUUUGUUUACCCUUUUGAUACUGUUCUUGUAGAGGUGUAUCCCUGUGUUCCUGGAUGAAGAAAUUGUUCAUCAGUAUUACAACGGUUAUUGCAACAACAUAUUGUGGCCUCUUUUUCAUUAUCUUGGACUUCCGCAAGAAGACCGCCUCGCGACUACCAGAAGUUUCCAGUCUCAGUUUGCUGCUUAUAAGAAAGCGAAUCAAAUGUUUGCCGAUGUUGUGACUGAACAUUAUGAAGAAGGUGAUGUAGUCUGGUGUCAUGACUACCAUCUCAUGUUCCUUCCUAAAUGUCUCAAGGAGUACAACAGCCAAAUGAAAGUUGGGUGGUUUCUACACACACCCUUUCCAUCCUCAGAAAUUCACAGGACAUUGCCAUCUAGAUCGGAGCUGCUCCGAGCAGUUCUCGCGGCUGAUUUGGUUGGGUAAAUUCUUCUUUGAGCAACUCAUUCUCCUGCAUAUCAUCGAACUUCCUGUUUUCGUUUAACCUUUAAAAUUUGGAAAUAGUUGUUGGGACCUCAGAGUGAUAUUCCUGUCUCUCUGUGCUGAGAGUCAAAGUUGAAGUAGAGGACUACUGCGAGGAUCUUGAAUUCUAAGGUUGUAGGCAUCGAUCUGCGGGGUUUGUUUAAUAGAAAUAACUUAUUACCGGUAAAAAAGAAAUAACGUACUAGUGGUUAGAUUUCUGUGAAAUCUCUUCCUCGCACUAACUUUACCUGGUGAGGCAUGUUUGAAAGAUAUGCUUCGGUAACACCUAGCAUGAUUAUGAAAGACACUCUGCCAAGAAAGUAUAACUAGGAAAAGUCUAUAUUAAAGAGAUUUACAUCAGACCUUAAUAGCAAAGUGUGCUGGUUCUGCUAUUUCAAAUCUACAGCAAUUUCCCCAUCAUUAAUGUUGAGAAUAAUGGGUGUUCCAUGAAUCUGCUAUUAGUUUGCUGCUAGUUCAAUUAUGUUAGAUGCUUGGAAAUUCAUGCUGAAGUUGAUGAUCCUUUUAUUAAAUUAUUAUUUGCUAGGAUAUUUGGAUUUAGUUGUGCUGAGAUUGUGAUGAUUCAAUUUCCAGUGACUAUUUCUAUCUGCAUGAACUUGUACCGUUAUGCUUUUAAAUACGAAUUUUUCACUUCUGGUUUAGAAUGCAGUACCAAGAACUUCCAUGCAUCGAAUGUCUCCUAUUAGAGUCCUUUCCUUUUUUGGUGAGAGGUUUCCAUGUAUAAUAUGGGGUAUUCUUUCAGUUCGUUGGAUUGUAAAGCUUCAGAUAUAAGUUUAAGCCAGUGUGACUUUUUCCCUUUUCAAAAACCGGAUCCUAUUACUUAAUUACUUAUAACUUGAUUGUAUUUGGGCUAAAUUUGAAAUGGUAAUCCAAGUGGCUUCUUAUUUGCUCCUCCUAAUGUUCUAUUGAAUGCUAAUCAUAAAACAUAAUGCUCACAUGGGUUUUCCUCAUACAUGUGUGGUUAUAUUUUCAAAACAAACUGUCUGCCAGUUUAGGUUCUUUUAUUUCACACUACACCUUGAAGUUUCAUUCCAGAGUUUAAGCUGAUAAGAAAAAAAAAAUAAGAUUCCACUAGUUAACCUCUAUGAUAAGAAAGUGUACUGGCGAAGUUGGUUCACAAAUCGUAGCAUAACCUUUCAAAUUAAGCUGAAAAGGAGAAUAUGCUGGUUUCAUUUGUAGCUUUUAUCUGUCUAUAUAAUGACUAUCCAAUAAUUCUAGAUACCAUGUUUUGGUUGUAUCAUGCCAGAGUAACCAACUUCCACUUCAUUGCACAUCUUUGACUUCCUGGUCCGUUAAGGAAAUGAUGUCCACUUUUUCUCCUGUGACUUUUCAUCCGUUAACCUCUAUGUAAUGAAAGUCCUUAGGGCUUGGACCUAUAUUUGCAUAGUUUGGUGAUUUAAAACCAUCUAAUUAUUACUCAAGCCAGGAAUGAUUAGUCAUGUUUUAGGGAUUUUUAUUGGACUUUCUAAUGGAUCAAUAUGCUAAAUUUCCUCUGCAGUUUUCAUACCUAUGACUAUGCAAGGCAUUUUGUUAGUGCAUGUACUCGUAUCCUUGGACUUGAAGGAACUCCCGAAGGAGUAGAAGAUCAAGGUAGACUGACCCGUGUCGCUGCGGUACGUUAAAGUUAACUUUCUACACUUUCACACAAACAUUUCUGCAUUAAGAACUUCUCUAAUCCUCAUCUAAAAGAUUUUGUGUACUUAGCCUUGCGAAAUAUCAACUUGAUUUCUUUCUGAGCAAUUUUUAAAUUGUUUGUACAUACAGUUCCCCAUUGGUAUAGAUUCAGAGCGAUUCAUUCGAGCACUUGAACUUCCUCAAGUUCAGGAACAUAUUAAAGAACUAAAAGAUAGAUUUGCUGGGAGAAAGGUAUUUCUCUCCCGCUCUGUAUCCUCUCUCUAUCUGGCCUAAAUGAUAACACUUUCAUGAAGUAAGAAAAAUCUUUUUGUUUUUUCUGAUUGCAAACAUUUACAUUUGCUUUCUUUUUGAAAUGAUGUCACUUUCAUGAAGUAAGAAAAAUCCUUUUGUUUUUUCUGAUUGCAAACGUUUAUAUUUGCAAUAUGCAUCACAUGGGGAACAAUUUGCUUUUAGAAUUUUUUUUCACCAAUUUCACUGUCUAUUUUUAACUGUGAAAUCUUGGCAUUGAAUUCCAUCAAUAUCAUAUUUCCGCUUCCCAGUUCCUUAGGCCAGUUGCAGACUUGGUCAUGACCGGGAUCCAUCUUGGGUAAUUUUAUCAUCGUCUUCUGAAAAUUGUACCUCCCCUACAAAGAUUGCAGAAGUAAUGUCACCCUUUUCUAGUAGUGUACUUUCGAUAAAAAUGGGGGCUAGAUAAAAUAGUACGAAACAGGGGCAGGCUUAAGCCAUAGAUUCAAGUCCUACGGCUGCCUGUCAUCACAAUACGUUCAUGUGCUUACAUCAAGCAAAAAGUUGCCUGUUUGCUGCACCAGAAGGUGUAUCUUGGAGGCGUAAUAAGUAAAUACUUCCGUUCUGUUACUACAGUUGACAUGCUUAACACUUAGAUAGUCGGAUAUUUCUUACUGAAUUUUUCCUAUUAUGAAACAGUAUAUGGAUAUGAAUAUGGAAAUAGGACAGUAAUUUUAAAAAAAAAGAUAGAAAAAAAGAGAUAAAGAAAGAUUUCUUUGCAUUUGCCAGGAGUAAUUAUGUUCUGUUGUUUUGCUGCCUUAAAGCAGAUGUAGCUUUACGCUCUUAGAAAUUCCAUGUGGCUUUAUUAUGGUUGGAGAUCUUUCCCCUUUUUUCUGUUUUGUACAAAAUCCAUAUUCCUUUUUCUUAUUAAAAGGUGAAAGUAUUUGCUACUAAGUCAUGUAUGUUUCAAUUUUCUGAAGGCUACCUGGAAUUUCCUCACCUUUUGUUGCAAAGCUAUGUCAGUCUUGUGUUCUUGCUAGUCAUUUUUUUAUCUUGUUUUAUGUAUACCAAACUCGUACCACUUUUUUCUGUUUCUGCCUGUAGUCAGGUAGGAGGAUGACCUUAUCUGCUGCAAUUGUUUAUGCAUUGGUCCUAUAAACUUUGACCUUGCUUAGUUUUCCCCAAAUAUAUUUGAAUACAGGUGAUGUUAGGAGUUGAUCGCCUUGAUAUGAUUAAAGGAAUUCCCCAGAAGAUCCUAGCAUUUGAGAAGUUCCUUGAAGAAAACCCGUACUGGCGUGAUAAAGUGGUUUUGCUGCAAAUUGCUGUGCCAACAAGAACAGAUGUUCCUGAAUGUAUUUCUUGGGCACAUCAUUCUGAGUUCUUCUUUAUUCCUUUAAAUCACUUUAUUUUUUCCUUUUGUCCUAUUUGCCAUUACUGCCUGUAGGGAAAGUUUAUUCCACUAUAAUGGUCCAGUUCAUCAUUAGCUGUUUUUACAUCUGAACAGAGAGUUCCUAGGAAGGGGAGUUUUUUGAUUCAUAAGUCCACUGGUCAAAGCCUAAAAAAAAUUUGUCUAGGGAAAGCAUCAUAGAUUAUUUACAAAAUAUAGACGCUCUAAAAUUUAAAGAUCCCUGUUAAUGACCUUAAUGAUCCGGACUUGAGGGCUAGCUAGCUUUUAGAGUUGUUAAGUUAAUUGUUAAAUGUAUCUGCCCAGGAAAAGGACAUGUGCCACAUGCAUUCCAUCAUGAAUCUAUUUAGUUGCAGAAUAUAAUCCUCCCUUCCUGUUGGCUAAUUCAUCUGUGCUUAUAACCAUGAGUCGUCUUUGAUUACUCCUAGCUUGUCAGCAAUAGCUGCACCGGUAGGAGUGAUCAUUUUAGAGAAAUAUCUCUCUCUCUCUCUCUCCCUCUCACUCUCCCUCUCUCUCCUUCACUUUCCAUGUCUUUCUGUCUUAAACCUGGUGCGUACUUUCCAUAUUGGUUAUUCAUUGAGGCUAAACUGUAUGUUGAGGGAAUCACGCAUCCUUUUACUUUCCAUGCUAUAGUUGUAAUGAAGUUUUGUUCUGCAACAGAGACAUCAGGUACAAAAUUUAAAUUAGAAAAUUGUGUAACAGUAUAGUUUGCACCCCACAAUGAUCUGUCAUUACAUUAAAGAGCUUGGCAAGAAAACUAGUUGAGGUGGUUAUCUGAUUCUUUUUGUUUUCACUUUAGAAUAAGAUUACAGUGUGUAAUGCUAGGACAUUAGAAAAACAUUACACAUGUAAAGUCUUUUCAAAGAAGUUGAAGCAGUUCAAUACAACUUUGGAAUUCUUUCUCUGAGCAUUAAUCAUCCAGCACAGUCCUCAACUUGGACGGAACAUCCAUGAGAGGAACAAAGAUGGGAUUCAAACCAAAGCUUAUUACUCUUUUUAUUCACCUAUUUUCCUGUGGAUUCCGUGAGAUACUUUGUCUGUUGCAUCUAGAAAUGCUUCCAUGGAAAUGACAGUUUCUAUCUGAUGAACUUUGGUGACUAGCUUAUUCUCCUUGAAUUAGCUCGAGUACCACUCACAAGGGAGAUUAUCUUGUAAGCUUUCAACUAGGACAGUGCUUUACUUCCCUUUUCUGAAUUUUAAAAACUUAAAUAUCUGGGAAUUCAUGAACCCAGUUGGACCUUAAGGACAGUCAAAUUUCAAUAAGAUUUAUUUGGUUAUAAAUGCUGAUGUAUGCAAUUUAUCUUCAUGCUUAAGUAUGAUAUUUUACUUGGUUUCACCUUGUAUUUUUGCAGACCAAAAACUUACUAGUCAGGUUCAUGAGAUUGUUGGACGCAUCAAUGGCCGAUUUGGAACUUUGACUGCAGUGCCUAUUCAUCAUCUGGUUAGCCUUUUUUCCCUAAAUUCAUUUUUCCUGAAUUUUACCAAGGCUGAAAAAUGGCUAUACUGUUUUUUCAAUGCAGGAUCGAUCUCUUGACUUUCAUGCAUUAUGUGCACUAUAUGCUGUAACUGGUAAUCCCUUUCAUCUUGCAUUUAGUUCUAUUAGCAGCUUUCACUCCCCAUUUGCACCCCCAACCCCCACACUUCUUAGUUGCAGUAUGCUAUGCUAUUCUGUGAGAUAAUAAUGUGUAAUAGUAGUGUUGUUUCUGCUCAUCUAUGUUUGGUCAUUUUCUUCUGUACUUUACAUGUAAGCACUAGUACAUGCUUGUGCUCUCACCUGGUAUGAGUUUAUUAGAUUGUCUCUGGAAUUGGAACUAAACUAUGAGAAGAGAAGAGUGGUGAGCAGUUGAUGUUUAUGUACGGUUGUACUCCUGGUUAGUAACUAGUUCUUUGUUAAUACAUAUAUGGGGAAGGGUAUAUCUCUACACAGUUUUCAUAAGGUUGUUUCCCUUCGGGUUUGGUAAUUCCGUUCUCUUUUAAAGCCACUUCCAGCAGAAUUUAGGAUAAUUACUCUCCCAGGCUUAAAAUACUUGUAGUUUCAGGACUCUUAUGGUCCUUACAAAUGAUAUUGACAAUGGAUUAGCUUAUAGAGACCUCUGCAUGUUCUCAGAGAAGUCUGCAUCAUGUGAGACUUUCUAGAAAAAGGAUAUCAAACUUGCAGAUCCUGGAAUUGGUUCAAAACUUCUGAAAGACGGAACAUAAGUUUAGAUCUGCUCACUGGGCUUUAUUAUUAAGAUCUGGCAUAUUGUUUUAACUUCAUCCUUUCCGUACUAAAUGGUUGAAUCACUUUGAUGUAGUAGUGAAAUGUGGACAUUCAGUUUGGGAAGGGAAGGAGAAUUGUGUCUAUGAGCAUGUAGGUAUUGUGGUUAUAUAUUUUCUUACUGCCUUUCUCCUGUGAAGUUCUUUCUGCCUCUGGCACCAAACCAACAUAUUCCUUCCUCACACUAUCAUUUUGCUUUCACCCAAGGCAGAAACAGUUCAGCAGCUAGAAGCCCAAUAGUCUGUUUUCUUGCUGCUUUCUUUGUUUUGGGUAUCUUGCACUUACUUCUCUAUUGGUUGAUUUGUUUAUAAUGAUCCUCACACUCUCAUUUUGCUUUCACCCAAGGCAGAAAGAGUUCAGCAGCUAGAAGCCCAACAGUCUAUUUUCUUGCUACUUUCUUUGUUUUGGGUAUCUUGCACUUCCUUCUCUAUUGGUUGAUUUGUUUAUAAUGAAUCACAGAAGUUUGACCAGGAUCUAUAGAUGGAUUUUACCCUGCAUGUGGACUAGGGAGAGUGAUUUUAUUGCUCCAGCCAUGAAUGGUCUUUCAGGCGCAGGUCCCUACUGCUUACCUGUUUGUUCCAACUUAUUUCCUAUAUGGAUUGUAUUUGGAGCAUGGACCACUGAGGUGCCGAGUUCCUAUAAGCUACUGCAACCAGAUAAUGCAUAAGUUGUGCUCCAGGAUUUGAAUAGGGAACGAGUAUGCUUGAUCACGUUUGGAAAACAUAUGCCUGCCAUAGUCCAAAUGUACCUUUAUGGCUUUAGUGAUCUUGAAGGGAAAAAUAAAUAUUUUACUAGUAAUACAGUUUGUAUUCUACUUGUCAUAUUACCGAUGGUUCAAGACUAUAAAAUGGUAAAACGAUAUAUUACUGACAUGAUGGUAAAAAGUUUGCAAAUAUAAAAUAAAUAAUUACUGCAAGAUUAUCAUUGUUAUCGUCCCAAAUACCAUUCUUGCCAAAAGUUGAUGUAUGUUAUAUGAUAUAUAUUGGUACCUUAAUUUGUCUUUUCAUCAUUAGCUAAAUCCAUGUGGUAGCUACAUGCCUGUUCCUGUUGUAUUUGACUUCUUUUGGCAAUGUCUUGUUCAUCAGAUGUAGCGCUGGUUACCUCCUUAAGGGAUGGCAUGAACCUUGUCAGCUAUGAAUUCGUGGCCUGCCAGGAGUCGAAAAAAGGGGUCCUUAUUCUCAGUGAAGUAAUAAUCACAUAUCUAAUUGCAAUUUUAUUUCCUCGAAUGCCAUGUUUACUAGUUUUUUGGUUUCGAAAGUGUUUUAUGCUUUCAGGCAUUGUGAACAGAUAAGAUGAAAAGAUUUUUGCAGCAUAACCCACAUAGACAGGACAUUCUUGUGUUUCUUUGCUACUUUAUUUUGACGAGGCUAACAGUUUAUAGAAAACAAAAGCAAGAUUACAGUUAUCCUAAUUCCUUUCAAAAUUUUGAUGCCCCUCAGUCUUCUUGAAUCACACAUGAUGCUCCAUACAUGGUAUCUUUUGUUCUCUUACGUCUUAAUCAUUUCCGAAGUCAAGGAGGUUAUUUUUCGCAAGACCUUUUGCAGAUAGAACAUCUGAUUUGACAAGUUUUUGUGACACAGGCCAUAAUUUUCUUUCUGAACAGCUGCGCUCCAGCUUCUUUGAACAGCCUCUGUUAUUGGUGUUCUUUCGUUUAGAUUGAUUUUAUGUGACACAACAUAGCAUGUCAACCAAAUGAAAAAAUCAAUCCUUUUCUAUUCUGUUAGAUAUCUAAAUAAACCAUAACUGACAUGUUGCUUAUUCUCUUCCUAAUUGUGUAACUAUUGAGUAUUCUAUGUGAUAUGUUGUCAUGGAGUAAAGAUAAUUUAUGAAAUCAAAAUAAUGGAGCCUCUCUGCCCUUUCGGGUAGGGGUAAGGCUCGUCUACAUAUUACCCUCCCCAGACUCCACUUUGUGGGACUAUACUGGGUAGUUGUUGUUGUUGUUGUUGGAGCUACCAUUUCAGUUUUGCAGUAAUCUUGAAGGAAAUUUUACUGCUGUGCUGUCCAACGCAUUGAAAUUGUCUCAUCUCUCUUUGUAUGUGCAUAGUUUCAAUAGAUAAAUUUUCUAAUCUUUAAUCUCGUGCAUUUGUAGUUUGCAGGUGCUGCACAGUCCUUAGGUGCUGGAGCAAUUCUGGUGAAUCCAUGGAAUAUCACAGAGGUCGCUGCGUCGAUUGGGCAAGCUUUAAAUAUGUCAGCCGAAGAAAGAGAAAAACGCCACAGGCAUAACUUUCUGCAUGUGACUACCCAUACUGCUCAAGAAUGGGCUGAAACUUUUGUGAGGUGACAAUACAUUUCAGCAAUAGCCUAUUAUCGUUAACAGUGUAAAGCUACUGUGGAUUUUUGCCUAAUCACUGAUCAGACUAGGGGUGUGCAUUCGAUUUAUCGAUUCGAUUGACCCUUAUCGAUAAUUACUUAUCGAUUAUCGAUUUGUACAUAUGUCUAUCGUUAUCGUUUCAAUAAGGUUUUGAUUUUUUCGAUUUCGAUUUAUCGAUUUUUGAGGCUUAUCGAUUCGGUUAUCGAUUAUACCAAUAAGAAAAUUUGUGGCAAGUAUAUCGCUAUAAACACGCCUAACUAAUAUGGACAAAAAGAAGCUAAAAUAAAACGAACACCGUUUAUAACAUAACAAUUAUGUCAACAGGCACAUGCAACGAAACUAAAUUAAGGGAUCAAAUGGAUUUCACCAACACUCCAACGGUAUUAAAAAAAUAAAAAUACAUCAUCACUGCUAAUUCUAUUUUCCAUUAAUUUGAACUUCAUUCCAUUUAGCUUUAAAUAUGAUCAUUCCUUAAAUUUGGAAGGUGAAAUAAUUAGGAGUGUGCUUUCGAUUUUGACCCUUAUCCAUAAUUACUUAUUAAUUUGUACAUAUGCUUAUCGUUAUCGUUUCAUUAAGGUUUCGAUUUUUUCGAUUCGAUUUAUCGAUGAAUCGAUAACAAAUAAUCGAUUCGAUUAUCGAUAAACCGAUUCGAAUGCAUACCCCUAGAUCAGACUCCUGUAAAGAACCUAUUUGGCGGCAAAAGAGUAAUAAUAGUAUAAAACCAUAAAAUACCACCCUUAUUGUUCUACUUUUGCUGGAAAUACUAUCAGCAAGGCUUCUUGAGGAAGCAAGAUAGUAGAGAAGUCAGUUCUUGCUUGAGUUUAACUUCAUGGCUGUGGCUCUGAUGCUUCAGUGCUCAUUUGCACUUUCUUUACUCAAGAUGAUUCUUCCUAUCUGUCUUUAGUGCGGAGUUAUUUGAUCGUAGGAUUGGAACAGGUCAGGUUAGACAUUAGAUUUGUAUUUUUAUAUUCUUAGGGUCAUAAAAGUACCUAGGCAGCCUGUUUAACUGAAUAGGAUCUUAUGUCAGAAUAUACACACUCUUAUCUAGGGUAUGCCUACCUUGAGAAUUAUUCAGGCACCAUAUUAUAUUGUUUGCAUAUCUUCCUUGAUCAUUUCUAUGUUUUGUUGCAUGGCUUCUCUCAAUAUUAAAUAUCUUUCCUGUAUCAGCCGUUUUUAUCUUCCCUCAGCAUAGAUACUGUUGGUGCAAUUUAAGCAUUACAUGUUUAUUAAUUGAGAUUAUAAAUGGGUAUUUUAGUAGAGCUUCUUUUUGAUAAACUUUGCACAUUAAUCGGCCACUAUUCCUCUUCUUCGCAGUGAACUAAAUGAUACUGUUAUUGAAGCUCAACAGAGGAUAAGAAAAGUUCCACCCCGACUUAACAUCAGUGAUGCAAUUGACCGCUAUUUGUUGUCCAAUAAUCGUCUACUAAUAUUGGUACCACUCAUCCCUCUUUCAAAUGUAAUCUGCUGAAAUUAUUUAUCCAAAAGCUAGAGUUAACUAUUUUCCCUAAUGAUUCCUGUGAUUGAUAAUAAUCGUUUGGUUCUGGAAGAGUUCAUACAUAGCAGAAAGGCUACCUAGAUGGCUUUAGACGAUGAAUCAAGUUAGUGGCAAAAGCCUUUGCUAAUUUGGAUAGCAUACCAACUGUUUUUAGAUUUGACAUGUUCACUCGAGUCCAAGUCAUGUUGGUGAUGCUUCGGUGUGCAUAUUAUGGGUGAAGGGGGUAGCUAGUAUGCUGCUAAUGACUUUUUGGCUGUAGAAGUGAAGAAUUAGCAAUAGAAGAGUGAAGAGAUCUAGGAUGCUACCAUGACGUCGGGGCCUUGGUGAUUCUGGGAGGGAAACGUCUCCAGUUAGUGGUAGACUUUGUGGGAAGGGGUUAUAUGUGUGAAGAAGAAUAGAUGCAGCCUCCUCUUCCCCAUACUUUUCCUUUGUGAGGACUCUUUGGGUUUCUCUGUCGAAUGCCUAAAUUUCAUUAGAUAUUAUAUAUUUUUAAGUUUAAUUUUCUGUUCUUUUAUACUAUAUGCAGCAACUAGCUAAGUUAAUGACAAUUUCUUGACCUGAUUACGGUGGUCCUCAAAAACAGGGUUUCAAUUCUGCGCUGACAGAAUCGGUGGAUACCCCUGGAAGAAGAGGUGGAGAUCAAAUUAGAGAGAUGGAACUGAAAUUGCAUCCCGAACUGAAAGAACCAUUGACCGCAAUCUGCAACGACCCAAAGACAACAGUUGUUGUCCUCAGUGGAAGUGACAGAAAUGUCUUAGAUGAUGUACUGCAUUACAACUAGCAAAAUUUCAAUUCCUUCAACUAUAGCUACGUUUCCCCAUGCCAAUUUUGUACCUUUGCAGAACUUCAGUGAGUACAACAUGUGGUUAGCAGCAGAAAAUGGAAUGUUUUUGCGAUCUACAAAUGGUGUAUGGAUGACAACUAUGCCAGAGCAUCUAAAUAUGGAUUGGGUUGAUAGUGUGAAGGUAUGAACAUGUGUAGCUAGGUUCUGAAAGUGGAUUUUUCAGCUCUAACUUUUCUGGUUCUUUUGACUAUAUCCAGCACGUCUUCGAGUACUUCACUGAAAGGACACCGAGAUCUCACUUUGAACAACGUGAAACUUCACUUGUUUGGAAUUACAAGUAUGCAGGUAAUCUUAGUUUCACCAUCUAUUUUUAUUUCAAGAAAAUUCAGUCAUGUGUGUCAAUUCUCUUUCCUCUUUUUUACUUAUAAUUUUCAUUUGUGGGGGUCUUCCAUGUCCUUUUAGAUGUUGAAUUUGGAAGAUUGCAAGCUAGAGACAUGCUGCAGCAUCUCUGGACAGGCCCAAUAUCAAAUGCAUCUGUUGAUGUUGUACAAGGACUCCGCUCCGUUGAGGUUCGAGCAGUAGGUGUUACAAAGGUGACCACAUUGUUUCUUUUGAUAAUAUGACCAGAUAGUUGCUCCAUGAAAUUUGUUUCAAGCGCUUGAUUAGUUCAUGAGACAAUUUUUUUUCCCAAUUCUCAUACACCCAUAUAUACAUGCAGGGAGCAGCAAUUGAUCGUAUACUGGGGGAGAUAGUACAUAGUAAAGCCAUUGCAACACCAAUUGAUUACGUCUUGUGCAUUGGGCAUUUCUUGGGGAAGGUUAAUUCCUUAAAGCUAUCAAAAUAUCCUUAAGUUAAUACUACUAUUGCUGUGAAUAACCCAAAGCUUCCCUGUCUAUUAAACUAGCUCCAGAUUUUGAUUAACUGUGGUGCAACUAUUAUUUCAAAAAAAAAAUGAACUAAAUGCUCCCAACAGAAUUAACUUAAGAAAAUCAAUGUAGGAUAGGUUGAUCAUUUACAACUGUAUACUUGUUUUCUUGUGUCCAUCUUGAAUUUUGAUGUUGUUAUAUGCCCAUUUUGUUGCUAAAAUAAUCACUAUGUUCAUCUGUAUAAAUAUAUUUAAAUUAAUGAGACUAAACUAAAUGGAUCAUGUUGCCAAAUCCUUUGAGCUUAUAUGCUUUGUAUGUCAAACUUCAAACUACGCCAGAGGUUUUUAUGAAAUACAGAUGCCACUAUUCUGAUUUCUAUCUGGUAUCUUUGUAAUGUAGGAUGAGGAUGUAUAUACAUUUUUCGAGCCAGAGCUUCCUUCUGAUUGCAUUGGUAUUCCAAGGGGUAAGGUCUCUGAUGCACUGAAGGUACCAGGGGAAAGGCGAUCGGCGCCAAAAGUUCCGUCCAGCCGAACUAGCUCAAAAUCAUCUCAGAACAGGAAUAGGCCUGUAUCGAACUCGGAGAAGAAAACUUCCAAUGGUGGUGGACGUAGCCGAACUGGUUCAAAAUCAUCUCAGAACAGGAAUAGGCCUGUAUCGAAUUCGGAGAAGAAAACUUCCAAUGGUGGUGGACGACGGACCUCACCUGAAAAUGUGUCAUGGAAUGUGCUGGAUCUGAAGAAGGAGAAUUACUUCUCUUGUGCAGUUGGCAGGACUCGUACAAAUGCUCGGUAUUUGCUCAGUACACCUGACGACGUUGUUGCUUUUCUAAAGGAAUUAGCUGAAGAAUCUAUCUCAAAUGCGCCAUUAUGAAAAGGAUAAAUGAUGCUGGUUGCCUGAUGAUGUUGUUGCUUUUCUAAAGGAAUUAGCUGAAGCAUCUUUCUCAAAUGCGCCAUUAUGAAAAGGAUAAAUGAUGCUGGUUGCAUCAAGUGAUGAAGGAUCAGUACCAAGUUUUUGAUUGAGGAGAUUUGUAUGGAGGAUAUUGAGCAACGUUUAUUCCUGAUUUGCGUUGGAUAUAUAGAUAUCUGGAUUCAAUAUUCUACAAAGUAAAGAAAUAACCUUUCUGCUAGCUAAUAAUGGCUCCCUCUGUUUCUCUUCCGACCCGUAUAUGUUUUUGCCCGUUGGAUUAUCACUUAGAACUUUAACAUACAUAUUGAGCAGUUCAAAAUCACAAGCACUUGUCAACAACUCACAAUCAUCAUUUAUGGAGUUACUAAAAUAAGCUUCAAAGAGAAUUCUUUUAAUUUUUUUGUUGGUCAUUGUUUUGUUUUCUAAUGGUUAAUUUCAGUCUUCUAAAUGGGAAUUCUUAGAAAGGCAGAGAUAUAUUGGAAUAAUGAUAAAAAUAGUUAAGGCAAAUCUUAUCCCUUGCUUAUGGUGUAUAAAAGAGCAGUUGAGCUCACGUUGACUCUCUUUAAGGGUUGCUUGAAUGGAGAGAUCUGGUUUCAUGUUUCUUAUUCACAAGAUAAAAUCAUUGCGCACCUAUUAGGUUUUACAUAUAUGAAAAUUUGAACUACUUAAAUCUUAAUGCUUCUAUCCUAAUUAUAGUGAUGUCAAAAUGGCUAAAAGAAAAUAAUUAUCCACCUACAUUAUAAAUUAAAAAUGGUUUGGAUAAUGAACUAUUUAAAAACGGGUCAAAUAUGAAUAAAACCAUAUUAUUCACUUAGAAAAUAGAUAACCAAUGGAUAACUAAUGAUUUUAACUUUUACCUUUGUAAGCCAGGGAUAAUAUUUAACCUGUUUUUUAUCUGUAUUAAAUAUGGGUCGAAUAUGAUAAUUUAUCAGCCUUUUCGUAUUACUUGUUUUCGACCCGCCCAUAUCCUAACCCGACCCCUUCAUUAGCCACCCUUUAGUAGACACAUAAAUGUUUGAAAGUGGGAGUUCCAAAAUGUGAACAUUUUAGGGCUUUAAAAAUCAAUGUCUGAUUCACUCCAAAGGAACUGGUGCAUUUUGCAAUAGCAGUUCAAAUUCACCAAUCUUUCUGGAAUGGAGGGAGUAAUUGAUUAAUUUAUUAUUAAGGCGUAAAUUACUAAAACUAAAUUAAAAUAAUCCAUGCUAAAUACAGUUAUCUUCCUUGAGAUUACUGUUAGAUAUCUUGGGUCGGUGAUUCAGGGGAACGGAGAGAUUGACGGGGACGUCACUCAUCGUAUANNNNNNNNNNNNNNNNNNNNNNNNNNNNNNNNNNNNNNNNNNNNNNNNNNNNNNNNNNNNNNNNNNNNNNNNNNNNNNNNNNNNNNNNNNNNNNNNNNNNNNNNNNNNNNNNNNNNNNNNNNNNNNNNNNNNNNNNNNNNNNNNNNNNNNNNNNNNNNNNNNNNNNNNNNNNNNNNNNNNNNNNNNNNNNNNNNNNNNNNNNNNNNNNNNNNNNNNNNNNNNNNNNNNNNNNNNNNNNNNNNNNNNNNNNNNNNNNNNNNNNNNNNNNNNNNNNNNNNNNNNNNNNNNNNNNNNNNNNNNNNNNNNNNNNNNNNNNNNNNNNNNNNNNNNNNNNNNNNNNNNNNNNNNNNNNNNNNNNNNNNNNNNNNNNNNNNNNNNNNNNNNNNNNNNNNNNNNNNNNNNNNNNNNNNNNNNNNUGGCUAGAAUGCGGGUUUCCGAGGACAUGGCCCUUGAUAGGAAAGUCUGGAGGUCUAGUAUCACGGUUGUAGGAUAGGGGCUCCUAGAGUUUUUUGUUCUCCUAACCAGGGGUUGGGUGAGGCUUGACAGGGCUAUCCAUAGAUGAUUUGUGUAUUGGAUUGUGUCUACCUUAUGGUAGUUAUUUAUGGUUCUUAUGUUUACAUAAUUAUUUACAUUAUCUCCGCUGGAGGUACUAAUGCUCUUUUGUUUUUGUUUUUCAUUUCCUACACUGAGCCGAGGGUCGAUUGGAAACAGUCUCUCUGCCCUUUCGGGUAGGGGUAAGGCCCGUCUACAUAUUACCCUCCCCAAACCCCACUUUGUGUGAAUAUACUGGGUAGUUGUUGUUGCUAACAGAAUACUAGCAAAAUACAUAGCAACUUUCCACUCAAUAUGUGGGGAAGAGAAAAACAACACUAUGAAAUGGAGCAAGAAACAAAUCAUAAUUCCAUAUAUAUUAGAUUCAGUAAAUAAACCCUUAGCACACAGGGUUGAUAACAGAUACACGGGGAACUCCUAUCCAAAGCUUCCUCGUAGCACAUUCAACAUAAUAGACUCAUAUAUAACUAACAGGAACAACCAAGCAUAGGAAUUCUAAUCACCGGCAAGAAUCUAAACAAUAGAAAAUAUGGGCUACUAAUGACGAAUAAUGACUAAACUAGGAUACAAAGUCAAGUAGCAUAUUGAUCCAAACCAGAAGUCUGAUCUCAAUAACCUAAGGCUUAUUAAGCAGCAGUUUUUCUAUUUGGUUCAAACACAUAUUUGACCAAUGAUUCCUUGAUUGGCAGCAACUCAGGGAACUCCUUUUUCAACUUUGAAGCAUCCAUCUCAUUGUUACUGCGAGCUGCAACAAUUACCUUAGCCUGUUCUUCCAAUGUGAAAUUGGCCCACGUAAAGUCUGGGUUUAUAUAUUUCUUGAACAUCUCCAAAAUCUCAUUGUGGCUCACAACACCGGGAUUUGUGAAAUUCCAUAUGCCCUUGAGAUUAUGUAAAGUCUGGGUUUAUAUAUUUCUUGUACAUCUCCAAAAUCUCAUUAUGGCUCACAACACCGGGAUUUGUGAAAUUCCAUAUGCCCUUGAGAUUACGUUUUGCCAUCUCAAUUGAAAUUGGAAGAAGCUCAUCCAAAAUUGUCAUGCUGUUGGGAAUAUUGACCACCUUAUUGUAGCGACUAAUCUUGGUAAUGAAAUUCCGGGGGUUGCUGAGGUCUGAAGAUAUUGGCAUCCGGACUCUGAGGGUGCAAACAUUCUCGCAUUCUUUCAGCAACUCUUCAACCUGGUGAAAGAAAGAAAGAAACAGUAUCAAUAUUUGUAUAAAGACUACCCACAUACAGAGUCUUAAGGAGUACCAACCAUAGCCUUGGUCUUAGAAUAGAAAGAACCAGCGAAAUUGGGCGUGUCUUCCUCUUUGAAUCCAAUGCCAGAACCUUCUGGGUGUGCAGCAUCAUAUUCAAAUAUGCAACCAGUUGCAAAAUUCAUCAUCAGUAAACCAUGCUCUUUACAAACAUCAGCCAAGUUUAGAGUUCCAGCAACAUUUGUACGAAUUGUUUCAGUUUUAUGACUCUCACACCAAUCAACGUUAGGUCUACCGGUGACACCAGCAGCAUUGAAUACAUGUGUGGGCUUGACAGCGUGAAUGUCUGCCAAAAGUUGUGACCGAUCCUGCAGACGUCCCCUUCCAUACUCAUAAGGAAUUCCCUGUUUCUCACAAAGCUUUCCUAGCCCGAUCCUGCAGACGUCCCCUUCCAUAAUCAUAAGGAAUUCCCUGUUUCUCACAAAGCUUUCCUAGCAAACCACCAAUCCAACCAGUCCUACCAUAAAUCAAAAACUUAUAAGGUGAUUUAUUAGGGGGGUUGCCGAUCUUGGAAGCUGGAACUGCCAUCCGGGUCUGGUUGGGGUUUCCAGAGCACUCAGAUGACCCCGAAUCAUCUUUUUCAGCUCCUCUCUCUACCCCACCAGGCAUCAUCAGCAUUCUAGGAUGGGGAAGCAAUGCUCCAGAGACAUCUCCCCACCAAUCAGGAUUACUGAUAUACCAGUCCAUGGUUUUCUUCAGACCCUCUUCCCACGUGGUCCCCUCUGACCAACCCAAGUUCUUCAACUUCUGAUCAUCUAGAAAAUACCUCUGGUCAUUGAAGGGCCUGUUCUCCACAAACUGAAUGCUUGCAUCUGGAUCCUUGUUAAAAAGCUCUUCAGACCCUCUUCCCACGUGGUCCUCUCUGACCAACCCAAGUUCUUCAACUUCUGAUCAUCUAGAAAAUACCUCUGGUCAUUGAAGGGCCUGUUCUCCACAAACUGAAUGCUUGCGUCUGGAUCCUUGUUAAAAAGCUUGCAUAGAUCUUUGGCAACAUCAAUCACCCUCCUCUCUUUCUUAGUUCCAAUGUUAUAAACAUGACCAACCUCUCCUCGGUGAAGAACAACCUCGAAAGCCUCAGCAACAUCCUCACAGUACAAAUAACUUCUAACAUUUGAACCAUCUCCGUGAAUAGGAAGAGGCUUCCCCCUCAUGGCUAGAUUUAUAAACUUUGGGAUUAACUUCUCAGGAAAUUGAUUGGGACCAUACACAUUAUUCCCUCUAGUGGUUAUAACAGGCAAUCCAUAUGAUCUCCCAUAUGCCAUAACAAGCAUUUCAGCCCCAGCUUUAGUGGCUGAAUAUGGGUUCGUAGGAAGGAGUUGUGAGGCUUCAUGGUUUCCCACAACGGCAUCCUCAUCAGUCUCCCCAUAAACCUCAUCCGUGCUGACAUGGAUAAACCUUCUGAUCUGACCAGUAACUUUGCAAGCCUCUAAUAGCACGUGUGUACCAUAAAUGUUGUUCUUGGUGAACUCAAAGCUAUUACCAAAGGAGUUGUCAACAUGGGUCUGAGCAGCAAAGUGCAUUAUAGUGUCAAUGGACUCAGUGAUGAGAAGGUAGUUAACAAGAUCAGCACUGCCAAUGUCUCCCUUAACAAACUUGAAAUUAGGGGAGGAUCGAGAUGGAUUAAGGUUUUUCAGGUUGGAACAAUAAUCAAGCUUGUCAAGCACAACGAUUUUGUAGUCGGGGUAGCUCCGAACAAGGCGGUUGGCAACAUGAGAUGCAAUAAACCCUGCAGCCCCAGUAAUGAGUAUAUUCUUAGGAGUGUACGACAUCUUGAUGCAGGUUCUUCAGCUAACGAAUUUCAAAUCAAUACGCUCAGUUUAAUAGCAACUCAAAUCCUGCAAGAAACAAAUUAAUUUCAUCUAUUAACAACUGUCAAACCUAAAGCUUAAAAGAAGGCAUAAAGGGAAAAAGGACAAAAAAAAUGAAUUCUUUAAAUAGAUUAAUAACCAGGUAACAACAGAGAAUGUUUAAGAACUAAUAAGCAACUAUAUACCGACAAAAAAUAUUAAGCAAAAACAAGCACCCGAACAUUAAAAAGUUCGACAACCCGGAGUCUGAAAAGGUGCCCAAUUCCAUAAAUCUGAUUAUGUUGGGGGUUGUAGUAGGUAAAAGCAAGAUAAAAAAAAUGCGAGUGAACAUACAUGAAGUUUCCCUGGAUCAGCAAUAAAAUAUAACCACAAUAUUAUAAAAACCAGUAAAAAUUAUGAAUCAGUCAAUUAAUUAUGUCACAAAUCACAAACUAAUAGAGAUUUAGAAAAACCAGCACAAAAUUGAAAUUGAAAAAAAAAAAACACAGAUCAUCAGAUCCAACAUAGUAUUCUGCAAAACACAACAUUCUCAUUGCUCAUCAGCAUUUCAAAUAUGUGGUCCACAAUAUGCUGCAUGCUUGCUUAUCCAUAAUAGAUCUGGGAUCAUAAGUUUGCAAUGGCAAUAAAUUGGAAUCAAAGCAUAUUUGCAUUCAAAACCCAGAUCUAGCCUAAAAUCAUGAAUUGCAAAAAUAUAAGAAUAAGAGCAAUAACUGUAUUUGCUUACAGAUUUUCCAGAACCGAAUAAAGGAUCCAACACCCGAACUACAAGAAAAGGGAGACGAGAGAAACGGAAGAGACUUUUUUAGAGAGAGAAAGAGAAAAGCGUGUGAAGAUGAGAGUCAAGUAUCGUAUCUGUAUCGUCUCCCUUUUGUGUACAUGUAUUUAUACACGCACUACCCCCUACAAAAUUUUCAUGCAAAUCUAAUGUUCUUCUCUUCCAUAUUUAUUACUGCACCAAAAAUAAAAUAAAAUAAAUAUGAAAAAGGGAAACAUAGAGAGUGUUAUAGCGGGAAGGCGGAGGGAAAAUAAAAUUACAUUGAUGCCCCUGAAAUUACAUUGGUGCCCCUAAUUUAAGGAAUAUGUAAUUUUUAAAAUUAUUUAACUAUAAUACUGAACAAUGUAUUUAUAAUUUAAUAAAACUUAAAGAACGAAACAAAGUAGUCUGUGAUUAUAAAUUAAAAGUAGUUUUUUUGUUUUUCGGGUGUAAUUGCCACCUUCAUUAUUCUAUAAAGAUUUUUCUUUUUUGUUUUAUUUUUUAUUUCAUAUUAAAGGCGAUGUGAUAAAUUAUAUGUAAUUAAAAUUUACUAUUUUUGUAUUAAAAUUAAGUGAAGAUUCAUAGAAGCGAUGUGAUAAAUUACAUGUAAUUAAAAUUUACUAUUUUUGUGUUAAAAUUAAGUGAAGAUUAGACAAUUGUGCGAUACAAUUUGAUUAACUAAAUAAAGUUACAAUUUGUAGGGUAAAUCUAUAAUGUAAACUUUGAAUAAAUUAUUAUUUAAGAUUUUGAAGUAAAUCAUGUAUAUCUGCCACACCAAUUCCAAGUCAUACAAAACAAGUAAGAAUCCCUAUUGUUGGGAAAGCAUAUUUAUGUAAUGGAAAAGAAAGGCUUCUUAUAAGUGGUCAUCAUCGAAAAUAAUAAUAUAUUAAUUACUUAUGUAAAGUAAAUUAUGUAUAUUUUCCACUCCAAUUCCAAAUCAUACAAAACAAGUAUGAAUCCUUCUUGUUGGGAAAGCAUAUUUGUGGAAUGGAAAAGAAAAGCUUAUGAUAAUUGGUCAUCUUCGAAAAUAAUAAUAUAUUAAUUAUUUAUAUUAUAUUAAUUUUAAAUUUUUAAAUAUUAAGACUUCGGAUAUACGGUAAUAUUUUGUGAAUAAUUAUGGUUGUUAUAUUCAAUGAUAAUUAUAAUUUACAUACAAACAAAAAUACUAUUAUUAUGCAUAUACGAUAAUAUUUUGUGAAUAAUUAUGGUUGUUAUCUUCAAUGGUAAUUAUAAUUUACAUACAAAUAAUAAUACUAUUAUUUUUUUUUUUUUGUUGAUUCAAAUUGUUAAUAUUAGGUCAUUAUAUGUUUUAAAUAAAAAAAUAAUUUAAUAUGCAAUAUUUUAGUUGAAUUAUAUUGAAUCACUCAUUAGUGAAAUUUGAUCAGCAAUAUAAAUUACAUCGAACCUUAAUUUUACAAUAAAUUAUUAUAAUUAGGUUCAAUAAUAUUUUUCUUUUUCUCAUAUUUGGACAACCAACUUUUCAAGGAACAGAUUUGUAAUAUAUAAAAUCUUAGUUGACUUAAAAUUCUAAAAUAUUAGGACUUCCUACCUUGUUGAAUCAAUUUUAUAAUAAAUUAUUAUAAUUAGGUUCAAUAAAAAAAAAAUUCUCAUAUUUGGACAACCAACUUUUCAAGGAACGAAUUUGUAAUAUAUAAAAUCUUAGUUGACUUAAAAUUCUAAAAUAUUAGGACUUCCUACCUUGUUGAAUAAAGAGAUAAUUAGUAAAUAAAUUCUUAAUUUAUUUUAAGAUCCUAAAUAUUAAGAAAGUAAAUUUUUACAAUUUUGUCCAGUGUAAUAUAUAUUUUAAAGGGUAAAAAAGAAAAAUGAUAUUUCACUAAGAGCCUUAAUUUUGUCCAAUGUAAUAUUUAUUUUAAAGGGUAAAAAAAAAUGAUAUUUCGCUAAGAGCCUUCAUGCUUUUUUAGAUCUUUUUUUUGCUGUAAAUAAUUUUUUCACAUCUCAAUAUAAUUAUUAAAAAAAGUAGCGUGAAUUUUUGUUCCGUGUAAAAAGAUUCACUUUAAGUUAAUCUGAUGGUUAAAACUAUAAUAUGAAAAGACAUGAAAAAAUCUAUAUUAUUAUUGAUAUAAAAUUAUAAUUACCUCUUUGUCAACUAAUGUCACAAUUUUUCGGGUGCCUUGAUUUGUUCUAUUAUUGAACUCUUUUACUAUUCCACUCCCAAACACUAACACUCGUAUUAUCUAACAUGAAUCAAAUAGUCUUAGACUAUUUAUAGGGACACAUUGAUCUGACAAUUCAUUUCAAACCACUUAUACAAAGCCUGAGGCUUUAGGUCAGAUGACCAAGUGGGCAAUAGAACUAGGAGAACACGAUAUAUCAUUCCAGCCUAGAACUGCAAUCAAAGCUCAAGCUCUGGAGAAGAAGUUAGUUUACAAAGCGAAGCACAGCAUGAUGAAAAUGCAAUGCAGGUAGAUGGAACUGAUAUUACUCAGUCUGUCGAAAAUAAAGAGAAUUCCAGGUUGGUUCUCUAUGUAGAUGGAGCUUAAUCCAGAAAUGAAAAAGGUGAGUAUGAGGAGAUGAUGAAAGCAUAUUUAUCUGCUGUUC